This 256-nucleotide ribosomal RNA is filed under the name uncultured bacterium. RNAcentral describes it as "partial 16S ribosomal RNA". It matches the Rfam family "Bacterial small subunit ribosomal RNA", at positions 521 to 776 of the family's 1533-position model. The record is from RNAcentral.
UAAUACGGAGGAUGCGAGCGUUAUCCGGAUUCAUUGGGUUUAAAGGGUGCGUAGGCGGACUAUUAAGUCAGUGGUGAAAUCCUCCCGCUUAACGGGAGAACUGCCAUUGAUACUGAUAGCCUUGAGUUUGGUUAAGGUAGGCGGAAUGUGUAAUGUAGCGGUGAAAUGCUUAGAUAUUACACAGAACACCGAUUGCGAAGGCAGCUUACUGGACCGACACUGACGCUGAGGCACGAAAGCGUGGGGAUCGAACAGG